AGACGASGAYGKGUAGCCGKCCUGAGAGGGMGACCGGCCACACUGGGACUGAGACACGGCCCAGACUCCUACGGGAGGCAGCAGUGGGGAAUAUUGCACAAUGGGGGAAACCCUGAUGCAGCGACGCAGCGUGCGGGAUGACGGCCUUCGGGUUGUAAACCGCUUUCAGCAGGGAAGAAGCGCAAGUGACGGUACCUGCAGAAGAAGUACCGGCUAACUACGUGCCAGCAGCCGCGGUAAUACGUAGGGUACGAGCGUUGUCCGGAAUUAUUGGGCGUAAAGAGCUCGUAGGUGGUUGGUCACGUCUGCUGUGGAAACGCAACGCUUAACGUUGCGCGUGCAGUGGGUACGGGCUGACUAGAGUGCAGUAGGGGAGUCUGGAAUUCCUGGUGUAGCGGUGAAAUGCGCAGAUAUCAGGAGGAACACCGGUGGCGAAGGCGGGACUCUGGGCUGUAACUGACACUGAGGAGCGAAAGCAUGGGGAGCGAACAGGAUUAGAUACCCUGGUAGUCCAUGCCGUAAACGUUGGGCACUAGGUGUGGGGGGCAUUCCACGUUCUCCGCGCCGUAGCUAACGCAUUAAGUGCCCCGCCUGGGGGAGUACGG
Molecule: ribosomal RNA, 605 nt
Filed under: Brevibacterium sp. CMT47
Lineage: Bacteria; Bacillati; Actinomycetota; Actinomycetes; Micrococcales; Brevibacteriaceae
Description: bacterial SSU rRNA
Rfam family: Bacterial small subunit ribosomal RNA
Source: RNAcentral